This 565-nucleotide ribosomal RNA is filed under the name Hansenula anomala. RNAcentral describes it as "eukaryotic LSU rRNA". It matches the Rfam family "Eukaryotic large subunit ribosomal RNA", at positions 50 to 628 of the family's 3401-position model. The record is from RNAcentral. Lineage: Eukaryota; Fungi; Ascomycota; Saccharomycetes; Phaffomycetales; Wickerhamomycetaceae.
GCGGAGGAAAAGAAACCAACAGGGAUUGCCUCAGUAACGGCGAGUGAAGCGGCAAAAGCUCAAAUUUGAAAUCUAGCACCUUCGGUGUUCGAGUUGUAAUUUGAAGAUGGUAACCUUGGGUUUGGCUCUUGUCUAUGUUCCUUGGAACAGGACGUCAUAGAGGGUGAGAAUCCCGUCUGAUGAGAUGCCCAUUCCUAUGUAAGGUGCUAUCGAAGAGUCGAGUUGUUUGGGAAUGCAGCUCUAAGUGGGUGGUAAAUUCCAUCUAAAGCUAAAUAUUGGCGAGAGACCGAUAGCGAACAAGUACAGUGAUGGAAAGAUGAAAAGAACUUUGAAAAGAGAGUGAAAAAGUACGUGAAAUUGUUGAAAGGGAAGGGCAUUAGAUCAGACUUGGUGUUUUACGAUUAUCUUCUCUUCUUGAGUUGUGCACUCGUAUUUCACUGGGCCAGCAUCGAUUCGGAUGGCAAGAUAAUGGCAGUUGAAUGUGGCUUCACUUCGGUGGAGUGUUAUAGCUUCUGCUGAUAUUGCCUGUCUGGAUCGAGGGCUGCGUCUUUUGACUAGGAUGCUG